AGUGAACGCUGGCGGUAGGCCUAACACAUGCAAGUCGAACGGCAGCACAGGAGAGCUUGCUCUCUGGGUGGCGAGUGGCGGACGGGUGAGGAAUACAUCGGAAUCUACUCUGUCGUGGGGGAUAACGUAGGGAAACUUACGCUAAUACCGCAUCCGACCUACGGGUGAAAGCAGGGGAUCUUCGGACCUUGCGCGAUUGAAUGAGGCGAUGUCGGAUUAGCUAGUUGGCGGGGUAAAGGCCCACCAAGGCGACGAUCCGUAGCUGGUCUGAGAGGAUGAUCAGCCAUACUGGAACUGAGACACGGUCCAGACUCCUACGGGAGGCAGCAGUGGGGAAUAUUGGACAAUGGGCGCAAGCCUGAUCCAGCCAUACCGCGUGGGUGAAGAAGGCCUUCGGGUUGUAAAGCCCUUUUGUUGGGAAAGAAAUCCAGCUGGCUAAUACCCGGUUGGGAUGACGGUACCCAAAGAGUAAGCACCGGCUAACUUCGUGCCAGCCGCCGCAGUAA
This 506-nucleotide ribosomal RNA is filed under the name uncultured bacterium. RNAcentral's name for it is "partial 16S ribosomal RNA". It matches the Rfam family "Bacterial small subunit ribosomal RNA", at positions 29 to 523 of the family's 1533-position model. The record is from RNAcentral.